This 29-nucleotide non-coding RNA is filed under the name Rattus norvegicus (Norway rat). Lineage: Eukaryota; Metazoa; Chordata; Mammalia; Rodentia; Muridae. The record is from RNAcentral.
UCUUAGAGAAGUGAAGUAACCCAUUUGCC